CUGCUCCCCAAAUUCACUCAGACCAAGCUUUCUCUUAUUUAGGUCCAAAAGAAAACUGCUUGGCUGGAAGGAGCCUGGAGAGGGCUUUGCCAGCAGCAGACCAAGCUCUCACUCACCGGUAAAGAACACAGCUGAUUCUCCAAUCAGUGAGUCUGCCACCAUUGCCGGGUCAAGCGGCAUUGCCAGCCUAGAUGCUGGCAGAAAUGAUGAUUUCAAGGCCUUGCUCCUGAAGAAGGGAAGUAAGGCAGCUCCAAGGUCCCGCCCCUCAGCAGCUGAACUGCUGAAGACCACUAACCCACUGGCUAGGAGAAUUAUUGCACAGUUUUCAAAAGACUAUGAAAACACUGAUAACUCCAGUACCUAAGCCCUGGGUUCAACAAACAGGGUUUACUUACUAAACUUGAGUAGAGAAGGGGGAAGAGAAAGGGUUAUAAAAAGGAACCAUGGAAAUCACAAAAGAGCCUACAUUUCUUUUACAUUAACUCACACUCUGGCCAGCAGGAAAGAGCCUGCUUCAACUAGAACUGAAGUUGUAAGGCACUGGAAUGGUCUUUAAACAUUUUGUAUUUCCAUAAUUACACCCUCACCAUGACUGGUUACUGGGUUUCUUCUUAUUUUCCCCCAGUGGUGUGCACUGACUAAGGAGGAAUUAUCAGAAGCAAAGGUUGUGCCAUCUUUUUCAUGUCACCUUUUCAAUUAAUGUCCUGGCUGCUCCAGCCCUGGCUCCCGCCGCUGGCAGCCGCAGUAGGAGAGCUGAAAAGGGGCUGUCAACCCCUUGGGGGUGGGGCCAUCGGGUGCCAUUGCUGAUUAUUCAUUCUCAUGAGGAAGCCUUGACAAACCUGUAUGGAGAUACAGAAAAACUGCGAGGCCUCCUUAACCACAGUGUGAUUCCUCCAGUGAGUUUUACAGGUGUGCACUUAUUUCGGCAUGAGGUUGAUUGGAUGGCUUUUGUGGUGCAAAAUAUGAAUGUGACUCUAUCCUGAAACUUCAUGCCUUUUUCAGUUUGAUUGUCUACACGGAGAUCAGGGUGAUGAGUUUCAAUAAAUGUAUAGGACCUCCCAACAUUAUCUAGAAAAGGUCCUGACUGGAUGGAUUUGGAUGAACCAAGCUCAGCCAACAAACAAAGUAGCUGUUCCCUCAGAUCUAUCCAAGGUAACUUGCACGUGCGCCUUGAGGUCCUUCAAAUGUCAGUCAACAUGGAUAGCCAAGAUCUGUGCCCAGGUCAUGCUGCAUUCUAAGAAUUCCUGUUUCAUUUGCAUAUAGCAUUCAGUACAGGAAGUAAUUAGCUGAAGGGCCAGCAUCAUCAAAGGCUCAAGGAGAAUAAGUGCAUUUUUCCCCACACCAUUCAAUUCAGAUGGCACUUUGUGGUUGGUUGGAUUUUGUUUAAAGGAAUUCUGACUCUAUUCCAAAAACCAAGAACUUAUAGAUUAAAAGGAUCUACCCAGAAUCUUAAAGGCAACCUUGCAAGUUGCUAUGGCCCAUAAGGCAAAAAGGGCUACUUUUUGCCAUUUACAGUCUGCUGUUUGACCAACUUUCAGUUAACCAUGCUCUGGGAGUACAUAAGAACUUGGGUAAAUGGGAUACUGAAAGAGUUUUGGAACAGUGAUUGCAACCCCUCCCCCAUCCAAAGCUAUCAGCUGCUAACUAUUCUUUUCAGCUCAAUUUUCUAAGCAGAGCAAGAGCAGUGGUUCAUUUGAUUUCCAUAUCCCUAAUUUCUGGGAGUUAAGGACAAGACAGGGAAAGCAUUGAACAGAGAAAACCUACUGACCAAUGUUGGAAAGUUUUAAUUGUCUACCGGUCCCAAGAGGCAAAAAAGAAAGUCAAAUGAAAUUGUAGCCUGCUUCACAAAGAGGGUUCCCAGACCCCUUCCUCCUUUAUGCUCACCCUACAGAUUCAUUUGUCAACUUCCUGGAAGAUGCAUCAAGAGUUCCAGUGACAAGCAGAUCUCAAUUUUGAUAGGACACUCUUCACCAAUGAGAAGCAAGUUCUUAGCUCAACUGUCCACACUCCAGUUGGACAGAGAAACUGAAAACCCACUUUAAGUGCUAAGAAGACUCAGGUUUCUCACACAGAAGCCCUAGGCCUAGGCUACUGGUCCAAUUAUGAAUUCAGACUAAUGGGAACAGCCAGGCUCACCAACUCCCUUGCAAUCAGCAACUCUCCCGAUUUAGAAAGAAGCCACUGAGAAUGGUAGACAGCUGGUCAAAGUCCAGUUGCUUUUGAAAGUAUUUGAACUAUCUGGUUUGAAGUUUCUGGGGGGUUCCCAGAAAUGAAAUAAAAUAGAUUCAUCCUUGGCCUUAGUUUAUACAUGAAUGCUACACUUAUCUGUCCUGGACUCAGAAUUCCAAAUGAUGGAAACAUUUUGCUCUGGAAGGAAAUGAAGGAGUGUUUGUGUUUUUGCCUAACAAAAGUGAAAGGCUGCCAGGGCCUGCUCCUUGGGAACCAUUAUGAACAGCUGAACUCUAAAGUAUGAGAGUAUAAUGUAGGACUUAUUACUUCUGCUGUUUUUUUCUGGAAGCUUCUUGUUUGUGAGUUCUAGUGGGUUUUGCCUCUCCCUUUGCCUUGCUACCUAUGGAAAUAUUCCCUAAAGUUUCUAAAGCUAAAUGCCCAGACACUUUGGUGUUUUACAAUUUCUGUGAUCCUUGUUCUCCUCUACAGAACUCCAUAUGCCUAGAAUUUUUUUAAUAUCUUUGCAUCAUUACCAUGGCCCACACAUGUCCCCAUUAGCACAAGAGGAUUUGGGAGCAGAGAUUGUAUGGUGAGAGACAACAUUUAGGACUGGAAAUAUUCAUUUAAUAUUUUGCAAAAGAUGGAUCUAGUCCCCCAAAAACCAAACCAUAAAUCUUCUACAAUUCAUUGAUUUAAAUAACACCAAGCAUCUUUUCUUCUUCUAACACUCAACCUCUCUCCUGCCCUUAUCACUUUUUUGUGGUGCGAGGAUCAAACCCAGGACCACAUGCAUGCAAGGCAAGUGCUUUACCACUGAGCUAUAUCCCCAGCCCUGCCUUGAUUACCAUAGCACCGAUUCUCUCUCCCACCCAGGCAUUUACCACCAUGUUUGCCACUUUCUGGGCCUACUCUGCUGAGGCUGGAGAAGAGAGAGAGAAAUCCCCUUCCAAGAAGGCUCUCAGUAAAGCUACUACCACUGCUAUGACUAUUAUGAAUAAUAAUGAGAAUAAUUUCCAAAAGUGGAAUAUUGAAGAGGUUGGAGGGAAGUGAAGCUGGCCCAAGGAUGUCAGUUUCCAACUUCAACCCUCUUAUCCCCACCAGUAGUAGCAGGUGGCUUUGGUCUUGUCAUGAGCAGAGGGAGCCAUCCCCAAAGAGGCAGUUAAUUGGUAUCUCAGAAUACUUUGCAUGUAGUGGGGAUUCAUUACAUAUUUGUGGUUCUAAGGUGGACAUUAGUAAGUUCUUAGUUCAAAUGCAGGCUUUGCUGGUGCCUCCUCUCUUUUGCCUGUACUACUUGGACUGCCUGGGCCUCCCACCUGGCCCCAAUUUGUCCCUCAGCCCCAACACCCAUGAACUGCAGCCCUAGAUAAUAGCUCAACCAUGAAGGACACAAGGCUACAGGCAGCCAAUAGUUCACAUUGGUUUAAUGACCACAAGUUGACCGGCUGAUAAUGAUCUGGAGAAAUUACCACGAAUGAAUAAUGACAACAGAGUCUCCAAAGCUGUCCUAACAAGCAUUUUUGUCUGACAUCCACUUUAACUAUCUAGACAACACAGAUCCGAUUGUACCUAUCUCUCUGAGCAGAUCUGCCCAUAAACCUGUCUUCUUCCUCAUCCCGGAACUAGUCAGGAAAAAAAACAAGUUCAUGCUCAGUUUGCUCCUCACUGGUUCAGCCUUCCAUAUUCACCAAGUCUGUGACACAAAUGGUGAGCUUUCGCUUUAAUAUGAUUUGCCAGGGCCAGGACUAGGGUGAGGUGGGCGAAGUGCCAAGUAGGCGCCUGCCUGCUCUAAGGGCCUUGCAAGUGCCUUACCCUCGUCCAGGCCUUGUGAUUUGCACUCUUCAAAGUGAUAUCAGUUUCUCUUCUUCCAUGUAUUGUUCUGAUUUGGGAGGCUAACUUCCUAUCUGUUGUUGCACCAAAUGUUUUAUUGGUAUCUGUUCUUUCAUUCACUGCUAGAAGCCUUUGUAUGCCUACGCAUCACAGAAUCUUCAGAGUUAUCAAAAAACAUAGUUGAUUUCUAAGUAACCUGCUCCAUGCGACAAGUUAGCACCCAUUUCAGUAGGGACAGCCCUUCAGAAAAAUAGUGAAUAAACUGGAGGUCUGCCCACGCCAUCCUCAGUCUCCUUCUGCUCCCUUCCCCCAGCACCAACUCUCCUUAGUGCCUCCUGCUUUGUUCUCCCCUCUCUAAGAAAACAUGCUCUCAGGAAAGGGAUAAAUUAAUUUACUUUGAGAUUAUAAAUAAGGCUUAAUGCUACCUCUUUUGAGGGUUGCUUGCAUUUUAACAGGGGAAAGCCUGAAGCCAAAGGAAUGAAGUUCUACUUGCAGAAUGUUAGGCAUCAACUAAUUGUAAAAGUGUAUUUUUCACCAUGGAAAGGCCAGAUUCCCUGAUGGCUAACUCCAGAGUAUAGAAAAUAACUUUAUCUCCUGGAAUAAUUAUAGAUACUAGCUGAUGGUCAACCAGAUUAUCCAGAUACCCAGUGCUGUUCAGUAUGGUUACUACCAAGGGACUCUCAGAAUUGGCUACUAAAAGCCACUGAGAAGGCCUAGAUCAUUCAUAUUGUACAUUAACAUGUUAUAUAACAGAGUUAAUACUACUUAUCAUUUGAGUAAAAGAACACAAAGAUUUGAAGAGUUUGUGGAAAUGUGUCCUGUUUGUGAAAGAUUAAACUGUGCAACCCGUGUCCAUCAAUGUCAGUCAUCCAGUAUUGGUAGUGAUACUUAUUGGAGGUACAACUUUAUUAAACACAGGCCUCUACUCUCCCUCCCCCCAUUUUACCUCUGUUAUGUGCUAUCACUUCAGCUUGGUGUGAGAAUGAGACCAUAUUAUUAUCAGAGCACCCAGUCCCUUUAAAGCCUUUGCAUGUAUUUCAGCUAUAAGUGACAAAGAUAUUAGAUUUAAAAGGAUGAGAGAGUGGGAAAGAGAUACAAAGAAGUGCCUUUGUCAAAGGGCAGAAAACAGUAUAAUGAUUUAAACAAUGAUGAAAUAAACAAAGUUUUAGAAUACUUUGAAAUAGGCUUAUAGAGAACUAUAGUAGUAAAUGGUUAUGAACACAUAUUAGGGGCACAACACUUUUAAUACAUUAGCAAAAGAAAUUUGCAUGAGCAAUGGAUUAUGUAAGAUAGGUAUAUACUUUUGUUCAGUAAAGCCCAAAAUCUAGGCCAGUGAUUCUCUUAAGUGUGGUUCCAGGACUUGCAAUAGCAGCAUCCAUGGAGGAGAGAGAGAGAGAGAGAGAGAGAGGGAAAGGGAGUGUGUGUGUGUGUGUGUGUGUGUGUGUGUGUGUGGUCCAGUGAUGUUACUCCUUCAAGGCCCUGAAUCACUACAGCCACAACUCUUCAACUGAUCCCAACCUUCCUGUUAUUUUGGAUGACAUUACAGUGAUCAGUUUCUGGCCAAAAGAUGUAUAUCAUCGUCUUAGUCAGGCAUAUAUUUGUUCGGUGUUAAGAAAUUAUCAGAUUGAGGGCCAGGGUUGUGGCUCAGUGGUAGAGCACUUGCCUAGCAUGUGUGAGGCACUGGAUUUGAUUCUCAGCACCACAUAUAAAUAAUAAAUGAAGGUCCAUCAACAACUAAAACUUAUUAAAAAAAAAAGAAAUUAUCUAAUUGAGCCAGGUGUGGUGAUACACUCCUGUAAUCCCAGUAACUUGAAGGCUGAGGCAGGAGGAUCUCAAGUUCCUGGCCAGCCUUGUCAACCUAGCAAGACUCUGUCUCAAAACAAAACAAAACAAAAAGCUGGGUGGUAAGUGUCCCUAGGCUCAACCCUCACUACCACAAAAAAAAAAAAAAAUACCAGAUUGAAUCAACUAUUUAAACUACAAAACCUUUGAUUUGACUUAGCCAGCACAUCCGACCCGGUUUGGGUUUUAAAAAGAAAAUUAACUCUGAAUUUAAACAAAAAAAAAAAAAAAAGGAAAGGUGUUACACUUGUUUGGUAUUGCCAAUCCUUAAACAACAGUCUUCACCAUGGUGGCUAUUCUCCAAGAGGGCUCUGGCAGAAGUAUAUUUGAUUUUAAGAUAUUUGCCUAAAGAAUGGAGUUUGAUAGCAAUGCACUCCAAAACAAAAUAUGAACCGGAACAAACAGUUAACCCCCUCAGCCUCUUUGUAUGCCAAGCUUUAUAGAAAUUUAUUCCUUAUGUGGUCUUGAGCUUUUUUAUGUCCAAUUUUAUAAAAUGUUAUGCAUGCAAACACAGCAUUGUGCUCAUUGUUCCAGUCACCUCAAACUCAUACCUUCCUCUGUAUGUGUGAUGGUGAAGAAAUAUCAAUAUGUAUGUUCUGAUGUCUCCUGAUCAAUUGUAAAUUGCAAACCUUUUCAUUAAUUUUUCAAUGAUAUAUAUUUACUCUGUCUAGUAGUUAAGAUUUUAUUCUUUUUAUUAUGUUUCAUUGCUACUUUUUUCUACUAACUCCAAAACUUACUUUGGGGAAUAUUUCUUAUUUCGAGAUUGUUGUAUUUAUCUUAUUUCUAUAUUUAUCUAUAUUCACAGAAUGUUAGAGUUGAAAGGGACCAACCUCUCUCAUUCCAUAGAUGAGGAAACUGAGACCAGAAUGGUCAAAUAGCUUACCUAAGGUCACGCAGUGAGCCAGAGGCAAGGCCUAACCUCAAUUCCAGGUCUCCUGCCUCUGGGCUGAAUGUUUUGUCACUUAAAGCACUACACUUAUAGAAUAGCCACAGCUUUCUUCUACUUUUAUGACUUUCAAAUUUCCCAGGUAUUUCAAUGAAUUUAUAUAUAUAUAUAUAUAUAUAUAUAUAUAUAUAUAUAUAUAUAUAUAUAUAUAUAUACUUUAAGAAAAAAUGCUCAAGAGUUCUUUAGUUCAUGAAUCCAAAGAUAAAUCUGAUUUUUAGCUUAGAAACUUUUGUUCCCUCCAUAUUCAGUAUCUGUGCCCUACUUUGUAUAAUGGAUGUUGUACCUAAAAAUUGUGUGAAAUGGGUUUUUAUAGAUCAAAUUUCAUUUUUAGUAGGGAGGCUUCCUAUAUAAGGGAAUCUUCUGGGGAUUUCUUUUGAAAAACCAAGACUCCUCUUGUCCCUUAAUGUCUCUAUUUUUUUAGUAUGAACUUUUGUAUUUGGUGUUUAUUUAAGUAGGGCAAACCAAUAUUAGCUUUCCUAGAAUCUACUUUAGCCUUCCCUUAAUCUUUAUGAAAAAUUUUCAGAUUGUUAGAUGUUCGUGCAUUACUCAGCUGUGUUCUAGAAACUUCACUUGGCUUGAUAUUUUGACAAUCCCUGGGCUCAAACCUCAUCUUUUUCUUAAUGAAAAAUAAUAGAAUUCCCUAAUCAGUACUGAGCUCUGCAUGGAGUGUCUUUUUCAGAAUAUUCUUUGCCUAAUGUUCCUAAAUGUGGCUCUCUCUUUGGCUAUCCUUGGACUUCCUUCCUUAGUUCAUGCAUACCUUACUAUUCCUUGGACUUGGAGGCAGUGGACUUUGAGGGUUGUGCCAAUCAUAUUGAAUGGUAUUUCCAGUUAUUGUUAUCAUCCCCCUGUUUCUUCUGGACUUCCUCUGGUUUCCCUUUUCAGGGACCUCAGAGGCUUCUUACCAGAGAUUGGUAGGAUUUCCACCAUCAUCUAGACCAGGGACUGACAAUCUUCCUCUGCAAAGGGCCAGACAGUAACUGUUGUAAGCCUUCUGGACCACAUAUAGUCUCUAACACAUUUUUCUUUGCUGUUACUGUUUGUUCCUUCAUUUGUUUUACAGCCCUUGGAAAAUGUAAAAACAAGUCUUAGCUUACAGACCAUACAAAACCUCAGGCUGAACUUGGCCUGCUUGUCAUCAUCAUCACUAUCUGGAACAGGUAUUUCUGUGACCUGUCCCACGUGGUAAGUGGGUUGUGUAUCAGAUGAUGUGGCUCACUGCCCUCAUAUUUCCUGCAUCAUCAGAUCAGUCUGACUGCACAUGGGCAGGGAGAGAGGGGCUGCAUGUGCCAACCAUUACAUUGGAUGUCCCUCAUUAACUAGCUCUCAUUACUGACUGCCUCAGUGUAGAAACACUCGUUCUUUUCUGGAUCUGUCCUUGUUCCUUGCUUUUAAGUGUUCCUCUGACUCACCAGGUUGGAAGUAAGGUAGUAGGAAAGAAUGAAUUUCCGAGUUUUCUUAUUUCUUUAAUCUUGUCAUUGCUCCCCAAACCUUGGGCUACUCUCUCCUGCCCCAUACUACCAUCACAAGUUUAGGACUGUCAUUGGAAAGUCUGGUUGUUCAGGCCAUAAAUUCUAAUCCAGUCUAUGAUUUCCUAGAGAAAUCACCAAUUUUCCUGGUUCUAAAGGCGGGUUUUAAAACUCAGAAUUUCCAUGUGUUUAUUUCCUAAAAAUGAUUUGGACCUAGUACUAGACAGAGCACUCAGCUCUGACAAGAAAGCCAAUGAGGUGCAGAAGGUAUUCUGUGCCCAGUUUUUCUGUGUCCUGGGCCCCCAGAUCCUGGGAUGAGCUCCUUGGGAUGCUCCAUGCAAUGCUAUAACCAGCAGAUAUUUAGCCCACCACCUCCUGUUUUGUGAACCCCUAAAAUGAUUCUCAAAAUUCCUUCACAUUUCUCCACCUUGCUUCCAUCUGCACACCUCAUACUAUUUGGGGGUCUGAAGCUCAGAUUCACAUUUUCACAUUCACUUGUAGAAACAUUGGGACAUAGGAGUGGACGAGAAGGUAUGUGCCUGUGUAUGUGAGUGUGGUUUCUCCACCUGGACUGUGAGGGCCACUUUCACUAAUGAAUCACACGUGCGUACCACCUAGCUCCCUCAUUGGUCUUCUGGUCCAGGACCAGUUCUGCUGGGACUGAUUAAGGAGAACAGGAUGGUGGGGCUCCUGAGGUAUCUCUCCUAUCUUGUCUUUUUAGACCUCUCCAUUGGUUUUCAUCGGCUCCUCCUCAGGGAGCCAUUUGAAGAAACUCCUCUGUGACACUUCUGGACAGGCCAGUGCACAGAAAGCCAGGAUUUAAAUUCAAUGUGGACUCAGUCAUUCGGAAAUAGCCCUCAGGUUGCAGCCUUUCCUAACUCAAUAAAUUUGCUUCUUAGAGCCUUUAGUUUGAUUUCUGUUACUUGAGCCCAGGGAUCUAUCCACUUACUGAAACCUAAAUUUUUUAAAAAUUAGAGACACAAGUAACUUUCAGGAUUUCCCUAUUUUAAAGCACCCAUGACAGUCCCUUUCUGUGUUCUGUUCAGGAUUUCCAGAAUUAGAAAGGGAAACCAGGUUUGUGCCUUGGACCUAAAAGGAGUCCCCCGCCAAAAGCAAAGUGAGGACUGAGGAUUGGCCUGUACAGAGCCAGGCGGCAGAAUUUUGUUAAGUUAGCACUUACAUUCAGUGCUUACUAAGUGCCAGAAAUACACUUAAGACAAACAAGGGAGACAGGAAUUUACAGAUCAGUAUCCUAAACUGGAAGGAAGAGGUAAGGUAAUUCCCCCAGUGACAAGAAUGUGUCCAUGGAUCAGAAUUUCAAGAAGAAGCAGAAACUCAGAGAGACCACAAUCCCAGUCUUGGUAAGAUUCCAACACAAAAUGGAAGGGAGCCCUCUGUGGGGUGAUAUACAAAGGGUUUUUCUUGUCUUUCUUUUUCUUUUCUUUUUUUAAAAAGCAUUCCUUACUGGCUUGCUACCAGCAAUUGAACUGUAUUCUUAUAUAGCUAGAGCUGUUUGUGUCUUCUUAAAAUAAACUUUUUCGGUUAAAUCAUU
This 9802-nucleotide long non-coding RNA is filed under the name Marmota monax (woodchuck). The record is from RNAcentral. Lineage: Eukaryota; Metazoa; Chordata; Mammalia; Rodentia; Sciuridae.